Non-coding RNA from Pelobates cultripes (western spadefoot toad), 210 nucleotides. NCBI's taxonomy places the organism in Eukaryota, Metazoa, Chordata, Amphibia, Anura, Pelobatidae. The record is from the annotation of a GenBank genome assembly.
GUUUAAGACACCUGUAGCGGAGGAAGACCACCCUGUAAAAAUAUCAUACCAGUGAUGUUCUGUAUGUGCCUCUAUCUUGUUAUCUUUGCUGUGUAGUUUAUUAGCAACUAUGACAGUUCUCUUCUCUAGUUCAUGCAAAGAGUGGUUAACGAUGGCUAGAUGUUUAGCUAGGUGGUCAGUAUUGUUAACAAUGUUAAUUAAGGAUUGUAG